CCCCGAUUUAACCGGCUCUCUCUUCUCCCCAUGACUACAGCCCCGAUUACAGCGAUCAGCGACGGCGGAUCGAGGGAGGCCGUCCCACCGGCUGAGCUCGUAUCUACCUCAACAUCCUGCCCUGCGAGGACCCGGCCCUCUUCUCCCCCCAAUUGCAGCGACCGGCUAUGGAAGAUUGGAGGAGGCCGCCCCACCGCGGCACCGCCGAACAUAGAUCCACCGCAUCAACCCGCCCUGCGAGCACCCGGCUCUCUUCUCCCCUGCGAUUGGCGGCGUCUCUUUGUGACUUCCUCAUCCCGCCACCCCUUGAUGUUCAAUGGUUCCACUAUAUCCUGCUUUCACACUUAGAGAAUGAAAACCGAUGGGGAAGGCAUGAGCUUUGUUUUCUAUUUUAGAUUUUCAGAAGGUUACUCCAAAGCGCUUCCAACCUUAUUCAUAGAGAAUAGCCGAGUAAGAUUUUUGAUGGUUCUCAUAUCUUUCACAGCUUCAUUAACUAUUUACAUUCUGUGUAUAUAAAUUAAAUAUAUGUAAAGAUGAUGGCAGCUUGGAUGCUGUAUUACAUAUGCUGUUUCUUUGGUAUGUGCUUGUAUGGAUACUCUUGCAUACAGAAAAUUAUAUGUUAGUGUGAAGAUGAUGUUCAUGGGCUUUCCCAGAUUAGAAUUUUGGUAUUGGUAUAUUUGAGUCGGCACAGGUACUGUGAAGAUUUGAAUUUUUGCCAGACACCAUGGCAUGUUAUAUAGGAUGGUCGAUGUACAUUUCAUAGGGUCUUAUGAUCAUUAUCAUCGAUUACACUUGCAUGAUUUCCAGUGCAGAGCCACAGGAAUUAGUCAGUACCAACAUACCUUUCCGUAGACAAUAUUUGCAUGACUGCCUAUGGUUACUCUAAAUUUUAUUUGUUCUUUUUGGGUUGUUCUAUUCCUCACAUGUCGACACUUCAAGCUGGUACGAGUUUUCCUUUAUUUUUCCCUUGAGGAAUCAUGGUCUCUUUGUGAAAAAUGAUUCAAUGGUAGUUAAAUUGAAAUUGGGAGAUACGAUGCAAGUUUCGAAAAAAUAAGCUUUGACCAACACUCAAUUUUCCUUUACUAAACUGGUAAAAUCAAAGCUGAUUGUUAACUUGCUACAUAAAGGUCUAGCUAUAAGUGGAGUGUCCACUACUUGAAUAAGCUGCUCCUACUUUAGAAACAUAGAGCAUCAUCCAUCGAGCCUUAGUUUUGAAACAGUAUAUUAAACUUUUUGCUUUUCUGAACUAUGACAGAACCUACAGUAAUGAUAUUAUUUUUGUUGUUUUUUGUUCUGAACUUCCUGGUCUUGUUUUUCUAGGGUUGUUGGCCGCUUCUCCUUGACUGUGCCCCGGUUGCAUCUUACAUGUUGCUUGCUUCACUUGUUACAUCAGAACACAUGAAGUCUUCAUUUUCUCUUUAUGUAAUCUGACAUGAACUGCUUGUUAGCAGUGUCAGAUGUUUACAAUUAUUUUACACAAUCUAUGUAUUUUGGCAAUUCAUUUAGUUCACUCCCUGUCAUCUUUUCUAGCUUAAGUUACUAAAAUCAUGCCACCGGUGGGGAAGCAGAGCAUAUCUUGCGGAACGGAAAAUAAAGGGUGAGGCGUAUUUGAAGGAAAGGGGAGGAAGGAAAGGAGAUGAAGAGGAAGCCGCUCUUCCUAUGUCGAAAGCAAUGUCAACUUAUAGGCACAAGGAGGAGUUACCCGUGAGACUUAAAGCAUAAGACAGAUCAUUUGAAAGAUGUAGAGGAAGCAUCAAGAAGAAUUGGAAGUUGUGAAGAAGAGCUGACAAGAGAAGAAUGAAGCCUGGGAAAAGAAGCAACAUGAGACAGAUAAACUGAUUGGUAUUCUCUCAAGGGCUCAAGCAACUCAGCAAGCAAAUCAGACGAAACUUGAUGGUGCAUGAAGGCCAUCCUUGCUGAAUCAUACAUUGCAAUAAUUAGGACAACACAUGUGAUCUUUUAGUUAUCAAAAUAUUACUUUUUAUCUUCUCUAUUGUCGUGUCAAACUUGAGUCGGUGUUAUUUUUAUUAUCAUUUCUACUUAGUAGAUGAUAUGGGGAGACCAUUGGAUGUAUAAUAUAAUUUGUUUUUCAUUUCAAUAUAGUAGAUUUGAUAAUACAUUGUAAAUUAUUUGAAAUAAAAUAAAUAUAUUUUGAUGA
Molecule: long non-coding RNA, 2158 nt
Organism: Triticum urartu
Lineage: Eukaryota; Viridiplantae; Streptophyta; Magnoliopsida; Poales; Poaceae
Source: RefSeq, a predicted model, not a curated record